AUGAGCCCUGAAGAAUUUCAGUUCACAGUCCGCAGGCAUGUCAGCGAAUGGAUGGAGUUCCUAACACCACCGAACUCUCCCCAUCCUAGCCCUCAGAGCACCUGGAAGGCGCCUCCACUGGAAAUGGUGAAAAUUAACGUUGAUGGUGCAUUUUCAGCAGAGACAGGAAAAGGUGGUUGGGGCCUUAUAUGCAGAGACUCUUCUGCGGAAAUUCAGCUUGCAGCGGCUGGCAUGGGGCAGAAUUAUUUGAGUGCCCUUCAUGCGGAAACAGACGCCCUUCGUCACGCUGUAGCCCUCUCAGAUCAGUUAGAAGUGGGCAGAGUCAUUUUUGAAACUGACAGCCUCUCCCUUGCAAAUGCAAUGACCUCCACCGAGUUUGACUAUGCACUUUUGGGCAACCUGUUCAGAGAACUAAAGCUGAAGCUGAUCACUGAUUUCAUCCAAGCAAGUGUAGUACAUGUUAUCCGUGACUGUAACAAGCUAGCUCAUCUGCUGGCGGUGUUGGGUACAGGGUUAGUUAACGGCGGAGACUACCAAUGGUUUGAUAGUUACCCUGAUGAUGUAACCCUGCUGUAA
This 576-nucleotide ribosomal RNA is filed under the name Triticum aestivum (bread wheat). Its description in RNAcentral is "partial small subunit ribosomal RNA". Lineage: Eukaryota; Viridiplantae; Streptophyta; Magnoliopsida; Poales; Poaceae. The record is from RNAcentral.